UACGUAGGGAGCAAGCGUUGUCCGGAAUCAUUGGGCGUAAAGCGCGCGUAGGCGGCCCCGUAAGUCCGCUGUGAAAGUCAAAGGCUCAACCUUUGAAAGCCGGUGGAUACUGUGGGGCUAGAGUCCGGAAGAGGAGAGUGGAAUUCCUGGUGUAGCGGUGGAAUGCGCAGAUAUCAGGAGGAACACCAAUAGCGAAGGCAGCUCGCUGGGACGGUACUGACGCUAAGGCGCGAAAGCGUGGGGAGCGAACAGG
RNAcentral lists this ribosomal RNA (253 nucleotides) under uncultured bacterium. RNAcentral describes it as "partial 16S ribosomal RNA". It matches the Rfam family "Bacterial small subunit ribosomal RNA", at positions 524 to 776 of the family's 1533-position model. The record is from RNAcentral.